AACCUUUGCAAUGCGCGUAAGCGUGACAAGGGAACUCUGAGUGGCGGAAACUUAGUUUCCGUCUUUUGCCGAGUUUAAAUCGCUCGGAGAAUAAGGGUGUGGGCAAGACUGGUGGCAGCCGCCGCGGUAAAACCAGCGCCUCGAGUGGUAUCCACGAAUACUGGGCCUAAAGCGUCCGUAGCAGGUUGUGUAAGUCUACUGUGAAAUAUUGGGGCUUAACCCCAAUGCGCGCAGUGGAUACUGUACGACUUGGGAAUGGGGGAGGUCAGGGGUACUUCUAGGGUAGGGGUAAAAUCCGUUGAGCCUAGAAGGACCACCAGUGGCGAAGGCGCCUGACCAAAACAUGUCCGACUGUGAGGGACGAAAGCUGGGGGAGCGAACGGGAUUAGAUACCCCGGUAGUCCCAGCUGUAAAUGAUGCAGACUGUGUUGUUUCCAUGCAUUAAUGCAUGGAAGUGACGUAGCGUAGGUGUUAAGUCUGCCGCCUGGGGAGUACGACCGCAAGGUUGAAACUUAAAGGAAUUGG
RNAcentral lists this ribosomal RNA (525 nucleotides) under uncultured archaeon. RNAcentral's name for it is "bacterial SSU rRNA". It matches the Rfam family "Archaeal small subunit ribosomal RNA", at positions 345 to 868 of the family's 1478-position model. The record is from RNAcentral.